RNAcentral lists this ribosomal RNA (254 nucleotides) under uncultured bacterium. Its description in RNAcentral is "partial 16S ribosomal RNA". It matches the Rfam family "Bacterial small subunit ribosomal RNA", at positions 524 to 776 of the family's 1533-position model. The record is from RNAcentral.
UACGGGGGGAGCAAGCGUUGUUCGGAUUUACUGGGCGUAAAGGGCGCGUAGGCGGUCAGCACAAGUCAGUUGUGAAAUCUCCGGGCUUAACUCGGAAAGGUCAACUGAUACUGUGCGACUAGAGUGCAGAAGGGGCAACUGGAAUUCUCGGUGUAGCGGUGAAAUGCGUAGAUAUCGAGAGGAACACCUGCGGCGAGGGCGGGUUGCUGGGCUGACACUGACGCUGAUGCGCGAAAGCCAGGGGAGCGAACGGG